Molecule: non-coding RNA, 227 nt
Organism: Chiloscyllium plagiosum (whitespotted bambooshark)
Lineage: Eukaryota; Metazoa; Chordata; Chondrichthyes; Orectolobiformes; Hemiscylliidae
Source: RefSeq, a predicted model, not a curated record
GUGGAGAUUGGGGGGGGGCUGGGAGGGAGAGAAGGAUAGCAAGAUCGUAUUAAAUUCCUUCCUUAAUCUCUAAACCAAAUGUUCUUCAUAUUUUGGUUUUGGAAUCGAACUGGAUUAAAUACCAUUGUUUUGAUAAAACCAUUUCACGUUGAUUUGGUGCAUGCCCACCUUAUUAGGAAAAAUUGCUUUUUUGUUUUAAAGAAAAAGACUUUGGCCACUUUAUGUGA